GCUUUCAUGGCUCCUAAUUUCAAAACCCUCCGUCUGAAGAACGAGUAACCCGCGACCCGCAAUCCUUGAGAAGCAGCGUGGUUAGGAAUCGAAGCUCAUCGAUCGAACGAACUAAAGAGAUUUUCAAUCACCAGUUUGGAUUCAGAAUGUUCGGUAGAAGCAGGUUCCUCUCGUUCCCCAUGGUAAUUGGCGCUGUUAUCAUUGGUGUUGUUUCUGGGAAAGCAAUAUUUGGGCCACCUCUUGAUGAAUACUGGAAAAAGAAGUUGGAAGAAGAGGCAACCGCAAAGAAGACAGGUACCAGUUCAAGUCAGCAUAGGAGCAAAAUUUGGUGAAACAUGUUUAUGUACAAGCCAAAAAACACUUUUGCGCAGGCUAAGGCACAGGCGCAGGUCAAACUUCAUUCUCGCCCAAGCUUGUAUGCAAAAGGUAAUGUCCAUUUUUGCUAAAGACGUUCUUUAAAAGCAUAUCUGUUUUCCCAAUCUUUUAAAUAGAUGUGAUUUUACUCUAUCAGAAAUCCUUACCAUCCUUUAGAUGUAAAAGAUCGUUGGUGUUCGACAAUUUGCCAGAUAGAAAGGAUAGUUGAGUGUUCAACUAACAUUAGUGUUAUUCAACUAACACUGGUUUAUACUGAAGUAACUAACUUAGAUAACCAAGUCAAUGUGCCAUGAUGACAAAUGAGGGAUGUAUUUAGCGGAGUUUUAUGAAGAGAGUCAAAGGCUAAAGUAUAAUUAUAAUGAUCUAGACCAUCAUACUUUUGGGGGUGGAGAUGAAAAUGAAAGAAUCUCAAUAUAUAAGGACCAACAAUCAUGCCAAGAGUCUGAGUCACUCCAACACCGCUCGACUGGUUAAGACAUGUUUUUUAUCAAAAAAGACCGGAGGUUGAAGUCCUUACUUCAUGUAUUGUUAAACUCAAAAAAGGCCUGUAGCACAUAUGCUAGUUGAGGGAGUCUCAAUCUGGGCGUAGCCAAGCAAAGGUGUGUUCUACGCAGCUUGAGUUGAACCACGUCGAGCGAAGGUUAAUACUUACUAACACUAUGCUUCUAUCUAUGGAAUUAAUUCUAUUCUGAGUUAUCAUGCUGAAUAGUUGAGCUGAUUAACUCAUAUGGUUUGCCACCACUCUUUAUUAGGCUUCGUGUUGUUACCUUAGUCAUGACGUUCAAACCUACAUCUGCGUGAGGUUUAUCCACUUUUUUUAAUAUAACAUUGUAAUUAUGGGGGUGUUGAGUCAAAGCUUCUAUCUAUGCAAGGUUGAUGAUGAUUUAACCGUUGAA
This is a non-coding RNA of Momordica charantia (bitter melon), 1271 nucleotides long. NCBI's taxonomy places the organism in Eukaryota, Viridiplantae, Streptophyta, Magnoliopsida, Cucurbitales, Cucurbitaceae. The record is from RefSeq and is a predicted model, not a curated record.